GGAGAUUGAGGAGAGAUUGAGGAAGGGAUGAGGGAGAGAUGGAGGAAGAGAUGGAGGAGACAUGAGGGAGAGAUGGAGGAGAGAUAGAUGAAGAGAUGGAGGAGAGAUGAGGGAGAGAUGAGGGGGAGAUGGAGAGAUGAAGGUGAGAUGAGGGAGAGAUGGAGAGAUGGAGGUGAGAUGAGGGAGAGAAGAGGGCAAGAUGGAGAGGUGGAGAAGAGAUGGAGAAGAGAUGAGGGAGAGAUGGAGGAAGAGAUGGAGGAGAGAUGGAGGAGAGAUGAGGGAGAGAUGAGGGAGAGAUGGAGGAGAGAUGAGUGAGGAGAUGGAGGAGAGAUGAGGGAGAGAUGGAGGAGAUUGAGGAGAGAUGGAGGAAGGGAUGAGGGAGAGAUGGAGGAAGAGAUGGAGGA
This is a long non-coding RNA of Oncorhynchus tshawytscha (Chinook salmon), 404 nucleotides long. NCBI's taxonomy places the organism in Eukaryota, Metazoa, Chordata, Actinopteri, Salmoniformes, Salmonidae. The record is from Ensembl.